UACAGAGGUCCCGAGCGUUGUUCGGAUUCAUUGGGCGUAAAGGGUGCGUAGGUGGCGCCGUAAGUGGGGUGUGAAAUCCCGGGGCUUAACCCCGGGACUGCAUUCCAUACUGCGGUGCUUGAGGACUGGAGAGGAGACUGGAAUUUACGGUGUAGCGGUGAAAUGCGUAGAGAUCGUAAGGAAGACCAGUGGCGAAGGCGGGUCUCUGGACAGUUCCUGACACUGAGGCACGAAGGCCAGGGGAGCAAACGGG
This 253-nucleotide ribosomal RNA is filed under the name uncultured bacterium. RNAcentral's name for it is "partial 16S ribosomal RNA". It matches the Rfam family "Bacterial small subunit ribosomal RNA", at positions 524 to 776 of the family's 1533-position model. The record is from RNAcentral.